Molecule: ribosomal RNA, 383 nt
Filed under: uncultured eukaryote
Lineage: Eukaryota
Description: partial 18S ribosomal RNA
Rfam family: Eukaryotic small subunit ribosomal RNA
Source: RNAcentral
CAAUAGCGUAUAUUAAAGUUGUUGCAGUUAAAAAGCUCGUAGUUGGAUUUCUGGUGGGAGCGAUCGGUCUGGCGCUUAGCGCGAGUACUUGCAUCGUCUCCGGCCAUCCUUGGGGAGAGUCUGUCUGGCAUUAAGUUGUCGGGCCGAGGAUCCUCAUCGUUUACUGUGAAAAAAUUAGAGUGUUCAAAGCAGGCUUAUGCCGUUGAAUAUAUUAGCAUGGAAUAAUAAGAUAGGACUUUGGUACUAUUUUGUUGGUUUGCGCACCAAAGUAAUGAUUAAUAGGGACAGUUGGGGGUAUUCGUAUUCCGUUGUCAGAGGUGAAAUUCUUGGAUUUACGGAAGACGAACUACUGCGAAAGCAUUUACCAAGGAUGUUUUCAUUAA